This 61-nucleotide transfer RNA is filed under the name Gnathostoma doloresi. Its description in RNAcentral is "tRNA-Ser". The record is from RNAcentral. Lineage: Eukaryota; Metazoa; Nematoda; Chromadorea; Rhabditida; Gnathostomatidae.
UUGACAAAAUUUAAAGACAAGUCUUCUAAAUUUGUUUUAGGCUUUUAGCCUUUUUGUUUUU